AUCCUAGUGCUCGGGCAGUUCGAUUACCAGUGAGGAUUUCAUCCGAGGUAUCGAUUUUGCUAGUUGAAAACUACCUAGUUUGACCACUUCAACCGGCCUGCGGGUCAGUUGGGAAUUUUUGAUCUCACUGAAUUUUCGCUCAGCUAGUACUUGUUACUACUAGUG
This is a small nuclear RNA of 165 nucleotides. It matches the Rfam family "U4 spliceosomal RNA". From Rfam's summary of the family: U4 small nuclear RNA (U4 snRNA) is a component of the major U2-dependent spliceosome. The structure of U4 snRNA from yeast and human has been reported. U4 snRNA presents a k-turn RNA motif in the 5p-SL related to recognition of Snu13 protein. The record is from Rfam.